This 1529-nucleotide long non-coding RNA is filed under the name Ovis aries (sheep). Its description in RNAcentral is "lncRNA (ENSOARG00000025333.1)". The record is from RNAcentral. Lineage: Eukaryota; Metazoa; Chordata; Mammalia; Artiodactyla; Bovidae.
CUUUAGAUAAAUUAGUAAAAGUAAUUUUUCCUAGAUAAGGAACAUUGAAGUUACAGCUGUGAGAAUCCAAUUUGUGUCAGUCUCUAGUUGUCUUCUUCAUAUGUUAGUUUAAAUUCCUUGCUUUGCCUUCCCAACAGAGGUUAAGAUCUGGGCCCUGCCUGCUGACUACAGUAUAACCCAUGAGGCUUGAUUAUUCAUGAAAAGUUUCAGAAGGCUAUCAACUCCACCACAGCAGGUGGAAUGUCAACAUUUAUUUCUGCUGUGUUUUGAGAUGGCACAGAAGGAAGGAAAUAGAACACAAAGUAUUAAUGUGAGACAGAAUUAAAGAAACUAGUCCAGGCCUGUAAAUUUUACUUAAAAACAAAACCAAGAGGACCAAGGACGUCAUCUGAUUUUAUAUGUUCUCCCGUAUCUCCUUUUGUAUUCAGGCUAUUGCUCAAACCAUAUAACUUUUUUUUUUAGCCACUCCUCACGGCAUGUGGAAUCUUAGUUCACUGACGAGAUAUCCAAACUGUGCCCCCUCUAAUGGAAGCUUUGAUUCUUAAUCACAGGACUGCCAGAGAAGUCCCAAGGCAUAUGAUUUUGAUGCAUGGUUCCUAGUCAAAUAGAGUUCAUCUGACGUUUUGAUCCUUUCUAGAACAUUUUGCCUAUGUAACCAGCCUGCUGGACAGGCUCAGAACUGCGAGUAAUUGUAACUGUGGCUGGAUGGAAUGGAUUUUAUAACUUGGAGGUGUUAUGUUUGGCUGCACUAAAAUUGCAUUACAACCCUGGGAUAAAAUGAAGGUUUACCGACAAAAAGAAAAUAUAUGUAAAUAACGACUCCCAUUAUUCUGACUCAUGUUUGUAUAAACUGCAUACAAAAAAAAAAAAAAGCUUUUCCAUUCACAGUUGCUAUAGGGGAGAGGGAAGGGGGAAUACAGAUUUCUCACAAGUGGAUUUCUGAUCAUUUAGCUCAUUAUUGAAAGAUGCAUAAAGUCCUUUUCUAAACCUUUCUCAUUCCUUUUAUAAAUUAGGAGAGUGGUUCAAACCUGAGUGUGCCGAGGAAAGUCAAAGAAUCCAGCCAUCUCCCACCAGAAGAAACAAUGGAAUUCAUUCUGAGAAGGCUGGAGAAACGUGCUUGGAAUUUUUCAAACCAAAAAAUUGGGGAAAACAGAGAGAGAUUGGUGUCACCGAACAAAACAAUCUGAAUAAUUCUGGCCUCGGAGUCACUUCUGAGAUCAGAGGGAUAUUUGCCCACAUUAUUCACCAAAUGAGACUGAUGAGCAGCAUUAGAGAGUCAAGAAAGCCUAAAGCAGGCUGUAGAAUGCCUGUGGAACCAAUUAUUUACCCUCAUCAAACCUCAGGUGAGUGGAUUUUGUUGCCUUAAUUCACUUAAAAAAAAAAAAAAAAAAAAAAACCCUAAACAAAAAUGUGAAGCUCUCUGUCCAAACACAAGAAAGAGUUUUAGAGCACAUGGAAUUUAGCACCAAAGAAAUUAUGAGCUGAUAUUUGCUCACAUUUGUUAUAUCUAUUUACUCAUUCUAAAAAAA